This 1123-nucleotide ribosomal RNA is filed under the name uncultured bacterium. RNAcentral describes it as "bacterial SSU rRNA". It matches the Rfam family "Bacterial small subunit ribosomal RNA", at positions 45 to 1162 of the family's 1533-position model. The record is from RNAcentral.
AUUGAUUUUAUGCUUGCAUAAAUGAUUUUUGGAUUCGGAGCGAGUGUCGAACUGGUGAGUAACACGUGGGUAACCUGCCCCGAAGCGGGGGAUAACAUUUGGAAACAAGUGCUAAUACCGCAUAAUUAGUUGGAACCGCAUGGUUCCAACUUGAAAGAUGGCUCUGCUAUCACUUUGGGAUGGACCCGCGCCGUAUUAGUUAGUUGGUGAGAUAAAAGCCCACCAAGACGAUGAUACGUAGCCGACCUGAGAGGGUAAUCGGCCACAUUGGGACUGAGACACGGCCCAGACUCCUACGGGAGGCAGCAGUAGGGAAUCUUCCACAAUGGACGAAAGUCUGAUGGAGCAACGCCGCGUGAGUGAUGAAGGUUUUCGGAUCGUAAAACUCUGUUGUUAAAGAAGAACAAGUGUUAGAGUAACUGUUAACACUUUGACGGUAUUUAACCAGAAAGCCACGGCUAACUACGUGCCAGCAGCCGCGGUAAUACGUAGGUGGCAAGCGUUGUCCGGAUUUAUUGGGCGUAAAGCGAGCGCAGGCGGUUUUGUAAGUCUGCUGUGAAAGCCCUCAGCUCAACUGAGGAAGUGCAGUGGAAACUACAAAACUUGAGUACAGAAGAGGAAAGUGGAACUCCAUGUGUAGCGGUGAAAUGCGUAGAUAUAUGGAAGAACACCAGUGGCGAAGGCGGCUUUCUGGUCUGUUACUGACGCUGAGGCUCGAAAGCAUGGGUAGCGAACAGGAUUAGAUACCCUGGUAGUCCAUGCCGUAAACGAUGAAUACUAGGUGUUGGAGGGUUUCCGCCCUUCAGUGCCGCAGCUAACGCAUUAAGUAUUCCGCCUGGGGAGUACGACCGCAAGGUUGAAACUCAAAGGAAUUGACGGGGGCCCGCACAAGUGGUGGAGCAUGUGGUUUAAUUCGAUGCUACGCGAAGAACCUUACCAGCUCUUGACAUCUUCUGCCAACCCAAGAGAUUGGGCGUUCCCUUCGGGGACAGAAUGACAGGUGGUGCAUGGUUGUCGUCAGCUCGUGUCGUGAGAUGUUGGGUUAAGUCCCGCAACGAGCGCAACCCUUAUUAUUAGUUGCCAGCAUUUAGUUGGGCACUCUAGUGAGACUGCCGGUGAUAAA